AUGGCGAUUGAGCCUCUCCGUGACAAUCUGGACACCGUCACACCAACCGACCAACCAAACGAUGGUGAUUCCUCUUCCCAGCAGCAACUCACCAUGUACAACUAUGACCUGAGUGGUCCACCCUCUACAGUUCUUUCCCCAGCCAACCAAGCAAGCACAGAUCUGCUCGGUGGAGUCACUGGCCCUGGGUUGUGCAGUGUCAACAGCAGCCUUGGACAAAACCAAUUUCAGAUCGGCGCAGGGUGUAGCCCUGAGCACCGCCAGAUCAGAUCAAACGAUGCUCUUCACUACAUAAGCCAGAUGCUAAUGGAAGACGUCGACGAGAGGGUCGACAUAUGCCAAGGGGAGGCAGCUAUCCAGGCUACUGAGCAGCCAUUCCGUGACAUUCUUGGACAGGUAUACACACCGGCUUUGUAUAGCAACAACAAACAAGACAGCCCUGAUAAGAGUGGGACCAGCUGUUACAAGAGGCUCUGGAGCACUAGCUUCAGUAAUGACUGUUCCAGUUACAGCUUGGUACAGCCCUUGACAACCCCGUUGAGUCCAGAUAUUUGCAAUAGGAGUCUUUCUCAACCAAACCAGCCAUUGAUAAGUGUUGGAUGGACUUCUGGAUCUGGCUUCCCUAACUUGCAUCGUCAGAGAAGUGUCGACGAGGAAAAUAUAUUUGCUCCAAGUAUUGAUAACGUGGUGAUAUGUUUCAAGAAUGACAUACUACAUAUUUCCCAACUGACUACGAAGGCAAAAGUAGGAGAGAGGGGUGAAAACACAAUCUUUGAGGUGGCAGACCAAAGGGGCUGGGGUAUCUUUCAAGGAAGGAGCAAUAAACAUCAUGCCAUCACCACUUGUGCAAUAAUUCGAAAUGAAAAUUUCGACCGAGUUCUGCUAUGCUAUGGUCGUUCCGACCAAAUAAGAAGACUGCGGGAAAGGAUGGCAGAGACAGGAAGCAAUAACACACUGAAAGGCUGGAGCAAAGGGCGUCAGAAGCUAUGGGCUAGGAAGCAACAGAGGCAAGAGUUCGUUGAUAUCAGGGCUCUCCUCUUCCAGUGCGCACAAGCUGUGGCAGAAGACAACCACCUGUUCGCCAAUGAACUUCUAAAGAAGAUAAGAGAACACUCCUCAGCAGAUGGUGAUUGUACUCAGAGACUAGCAUUUUACUUGGCAGAUGGCCUCGCGGCACGCUUGGCUGGGACUGGGGGUCAGGUUUAUCGCAACCUCAUGGAGAGGCGAACAAGUAGAACAGAUUGGUUAGUUGCGUACAGUCUUUUUCAUGCAUCCUGCCCUUUCGACAGGACGUCACACUACUUUGCCAGCCAAGCAAUUCUUGGUGUUUCACAAGGGCAACCAAGGGUGCACAUCGUUGAUUUCGGUAUCGGCUUCGGCCUUCAGUGGCCAUUAAUGAUUCAGAGGUUUUCACAGCAAGAAGAGGGAGCCCCUAAGCUUCGGAUCACAGGUAUAGACAUUCCCCAGCCAGGUUUACACCCCUGCGAAAUGAUUGAGGAGACAGGGAAGCGGUUGGCUGAUUAUGCAAACAUGUUCAAGGUACCUUUUCAGUAUCAGGGCAUUGCAGCUUCAAGAUGGGAGACCAUCAAAAUUGAGGAUCUUAACAUUGACGAGGAUGAAGUUCUCAUAAUCAACUGCAUAUUCCGGAUGAAGAAUCUUGGUCAUGAAACCGCAGGAAUAAAUAGCGCAAGGGAUGAGGUAAUGAAAACUAUGAGGAGGAUGAACCCAAAGAUUUUUAUUUCUGGCACAAUGAAUGGGUUACACAGUUCUCCCUUCUUCAUACAACGAUUCAAAGAGGUUAUGCUCCAUUACUCUCCAAUGUUUGAUAUGCUUGAUGCAAAUGUUCCACGGGAUAAUAAGGCAAGAAAGAUGAUUGAGAGGAUCCGAUUUGGGACAGAUGCACUUAAUAUCAUAGCAUGUGAGGGCGCAGACAGAACUGAGAGGCCAGAAAGUUACAGGCAGUGGCAAGCAAGAUUUCUCAAGGCUGGGUUCCAGCAGCUUCCUGUGGAUCCAGCCUUCUUGAAAAGAGUACACAUGAACAACUCACAUUAUCACAAGGAAUUCUUUGCUGUUGAAGAUCGCGGUUGGCUGCUACAAGGAUGGAAAGGGAGAGUACUUUAUGCUAUAUCUAAAUGGAAGCCUAAUGAAACAUACGAUGAUCAGUAA
Molecule: ribosomal RNA, 2166 nt
Filed under: Triticum aestivum (bread wheat)
Lineage: Eukaryota; Viridiplantae; Streptophyta; Magnoliopsida; Poales; Poaceae
Description: partial small subunit ribosomal RNA
Source: RNAcentral